GACGAACGCUGGCGGCGUGCUUAACACAUGCAAGUCGAACGGAAAGGCCCUGCUUUUGUGGGGUGCUCGAGUGGCGAACGGGUGAGUAACACGUGAGUAACCUGCCCUUGACUUUGGGAUAACUUCAGGAAACUGGGGCUAAUACCGGAUAGGAGCUCCUGCUGCAUGGUGGGGGUUGGAAAGUUUCGGCGGUUGGGGAUGGACUCGCGGCUUAUCAGCUUGUUGGUGGGGUAGUGGCUUACCAAGGCUUUGACGGGUAGCCGGCCUGAGAGGGUGACCGGCAACAUUGGGACUGAGAUACGGCCAAGACUCCUACGGGAGGAAGAAGUGGGGAAUAUUGAAAAAUGGGCGGAAGCCUGAUGCAGCAACGCGGCGUGCGGGAUGACGGCCUUCGGGUUGUAAACCGCUUUCGCAUGUGACGAAGCGUGAGUGACGGUAAUGGGUAAAGAAGCACCGGCUAACUACGUG
This 468-nucleotide ribosomal RNA is filed under the name uncultured bacterium. RNAcentral describes it as "partial 16S ribosomal RNA". It matches the Rfam family "Bacterial small subunit ribosomal RNA", at positions 28 to 507 of the family's 1533-position model. The record is from RNAcentral.